Molecule: ribosomal RNA, 459 nt
Filed under: uncultured bacterium
Lineage: Bacteria
Description: partial 16S ribosomal RNA
Rfam family: Bacterial small subunit ribosomal RNA
Source: RNAcentral
ACUACGGGAGGCAGCAGUGAGGAAUAUUGGUCAAUGGCCGCAGGGCUGAACCAGCCAAGUCGCGUGAGGGAUGACGGUCCUAUGGAUUGUAAACCUCUUUUGUCAGGGAGCAAAGGGCGCCACGUGUGGCGCUUUGCGAGUACCUGCAGAAAAAGCAUCGGCUAACUCCGUGCCAGCAGCCGCGGUAAUACGGAGGAUGCGAGCGUUAUCCGGAUUUAUUGGGUUUAAAGGGUGGGCAGGGGGAAUGUCAAGUCAGCGGUAAAAUUUCGGGGCGCAACCCCGUCGUGCCGUUGAAACUGGCGUUCUUGAGUGAGCGAGAGGUAUGGAGAAUGCGUGGUGUAGCGGUGAAAUGCAUCGAUCUCACGCAGACCUCCGAUUGCGAGGGCAGCAUACCGGCGCUCAACUGACGCUCAUGCACGAAAGCGUGGGUAUCGAACAGGAUUAGCUACCCGGGUAGUC